This 496-nucleotide ribosomal RNA is filed under the name uncultured bacterium. RNAcentral describes it as "partial 16S ribosomal RNA". It matches the Rfam family "Bacterial small subunit ribosomal RNA", at positions 28 to 506 of the family's 1533-position model. The record is from RNAcentral.
GAUGAACGCUGGCGGCGUGCCUAAUACAUGCAAGUCGAGCGAACGGACGAGAAGCUUGCUUUUCUGAUGUUAGCGGCGGACGGGUGAGUAACACGUGGAUAACCUACCUAUAAGACUGGGAUAACUUCGGGAAACCGGAGCUAAUACCGGAUAAUAUUUUGAACCGCAUGGUUCAAAAGUGAAAGACGGCCUUGCUGUCACUUAUAGAUGGAUCCGCGCUGCAUUAGCUAGUUGGUAAGGUAACGGCUUACCAAGGCAACGAUGCAUAGCCGACCUGAGAGGGUGAUCGGCCACACUGGAACUGAGACACGGUCCAGACUCCUACGGGAGGCAGCAGUAGGGAAUCUUCCGCAAUGGGCGAAAGCCUGACGGAGCAACGCCGCGUGAGUGAUGAAGGUCUUCGGAUCGUAAAACUCUGUUAUUAGGGAAGAACAUAUGUGUAAGUAACUGUGCACAUCUUGACGGUACCUAAUCAGAAAACCACGGCUAACUACGU